This 27-nucleotide small RNA is filed under the name Bombyx mori (domestic silkworm). RNAcentral's name for it is "ovarian small RNA-24355". Lineage: Eukaryota; Metazoa; Arthropoda; Insecta; Lepidoptera; Bombycidae. The record is from RNAcentral.
UCAAAAAGGAAUAAGGGAUGCCAUCAA